UCCAUCUCCCCUCCCCUCCCCACCCCUCUCCCUCCUCUCCUCCUCUCCUUCCCUUCCCUCGCCCCCUUCCGGCCAGCCGGCCAUGGAGCCCACCCUCGACGAGCAGCAGUCGAGCACCCACCUUGCCGGUAUGGGAUCACAAGGAAGCCGAGGGCGGUGAAGACGGUGAGGAGCAUGCUGCAUGACCUCGUCGACCAUGGCCAUCGAGUCGUAGAAGGAGGUAUCGGCACCGGCGCCGGCCGCGCGGGCCCGCUGGAUCGGGAGCACGCGGAGGCUAAGCUGCCCGCGCGUCCUGCGGUGGUGCACGAACGCGCGCAGCCUGGUGCAGCAUGCUGGAUGUACUCGACGACGGCAGGCCAAUAGAGUGCGCGGACUCACGCUUGUCAAUCUAGAUCCAAGCCUUGAAGUGAGCGAGAUAGCAAGGGACGGCGAUGAAUCCAUGUAGUAAGACGACGGUGGCGCGCCGAGGCGAAGGAAGGCAGCUGCGGCGUGCUAGAUAGUGGGGGCGCUGCGAUGGUCAGCGAGCUCCACCCGAUCUGCACCUCCGCUUCAAAUUGCAGCUCCAUCCGGCCGGCUGCCCCCAUAGUUUAGGCCUGAGUCAGGUACACCUUCUUUGUUGAGUCGUGCUGCUACUGAGUUAUUGCUGGUCUGCUUGAGAAGUUGUGGUUGUCUUGGAAUGUGAUAACUUAGCGCUAAUGUUGGCAGAUCUGAGAUACAAUGGGUCUCCAUCAUUUCAUUUCUAUUUGUUCAAAUCCAUGGACUGCAUUUCUUGAUCUGAUUUACUUGUUAAUUUGAUUUACCCAUGGGUAUUUGAUAGAGUUGUCUGUACCUGGCAAAGUUAUCCACGCUUGUGCCUUGCUAGGUCAGCGUGAAUACCAUGAACCCGAAUACAUACAUAUCUGUCAAUAAUAUGGAUAAAAUUAGAAUUUGACUUGAUAGGAAAUAUUGAGAAAGAAAUGUUCCACAAUUUCGUACAAUUUACCCCUCUGUGCAGUCUCUCCCAUGUCGUGGUCCAAGCAGCAGCCACUUGAAGGAAACUUGGUCUAGCUCCUAGGAGGCAUGCCUGUUGGUUGUUCACGACUGAAUGUACUCUAAAAAUCCUAUGGUAAAAAAUGAAAACAAGGGGUGGAUGGCUAUAUUGAAUGAACAAUGCUAGAUUAUGAUAUUUACCUUACUGCUGCACAAUCAAGAAAGUUCAUAACACAUAGCAAGUUAUUAGUGACUGCAUUAGAAGAAACGAAAGAGCAUUUGAUAAUUCUGAUGCAUAUGUUGCGGAUUCAUAGUUUGGUCAGGAGUUACAGCAUAUUCAGUUUGUGAUAGGUAGAAGAUACACAUACCGCAAAAUAGUUAUUAUGCAAUAAGUUGAUCCUAUGCACUUGCUCAAUCUACUAUAUGCUAAGUCCAUAUUUAGUGAGCAUGAUCCACUGCUGUUCUAACUGCUUGUUAGUAUAGUUUGGCCAACUGCAAAGUCCUAAUGUAGGCAAAAGUUUGGUAGCAAAAGUAUAUCUUGAUAGUCCUAUAAGAAAUAUUUUUGUGUCAGUUAUAAUAAAUUUCUAGGAUCUUAGAUUAUAUUUGAACAAUGUGAAUACAUAUGUAAGGUAGAGUUUACAACCUUUUACUUGUGUGAGGCUUGACUACAUAAUUUCCUUGGUUCUUGUGCUGGUAUUUAUCACUGUCAUCAUUGCUGGUAUCCUGUGACAUGUAGCAUGCUAUAAAUUUGGGAUUGACUGUAGAUAUCUUCAAACCUUCUUUUACUAACACCCUGAUUGUGUCUAUCAUAAAAUGGAUAUAACCGGUCAAGAGAAAGUUCCAGUGGUGGCCGCAUCCUCAUGAGUGUUCAUCAUUAGGAAGAAUGGGCUACACAACGCUACCACCACCAGGACACGAGCAGGUAUGUGCCCACUCUCCCCCUCCUCACUGAAGGCACUGUCUUGCUCGUACAACUCAUUGGCCCUCUAGGUCUUUUUGAUUCUUGCUAUUUCGAACUCUAGGUCCUGCGAACAGACGACAUGCCCUUCGUUGGGUUGAUGAAAAUUUCAGGUGUUGCACCUUGCAGGAUAUUAUUGUCUCCUGGAGCCACUCUAGUGGGUCGUGAUGGACCAAGCAUCAGAGAUUCUAUUGGCCUCCUUUGUUCUUAAGCAUGCUAAUUUUUUUGUUAAAAUAGAUGUAAAAACUGGAGCGACAUUGCAAUUUUAUUCUAACCAAAUGAAUUAACUGUUUUGGUAUCA
Molecule: long non-coding RNA, 2228 nt
Organism: Panicum virgatum (switchgrass)
Lineage: Eukaryota; Viridiplantae; Streptophyta; Magnoliopsida; Poales; Poaceae
Exons: 2
Source: RefSeq, a predicted model, not a curated record